GCAAAUGGACGGGUUGGAUAACUUGCAGGUGGGUCACUGUAACACGGGGUAUAUGGAGUGUGGAUAAAAUUUACAAAUAAAUUUUUGAGUUGUCAACAUCUUUAUUCAUACCCGUCCAAAGGCGGCGAGUUGUUAUGUAGGUUAUCCCCAAGGUCCUUAUUUAUUUUAUUUUAUUUUAUUUUAUUUUUUUAACUCCUAUACAUUUCAAAUGCAAAUCACGUAUAUAAAAUUUUAGAAAAACUUCAAAUAUCAUUCAUGUAGUUUCGCAUUUUUUUAUUUUAAUAUCUUGUGGUUUAAAGCGUAUCAAUUUAGUAUCCCGUGAUUUUAUUUUUCUAUUUUUAUUGUACCCUCCACGAAAUUUUUUUUGUUAAAUCAGUGACAAAAUUAAAACUAAUUAAGGAACUAAAAUAAAUAUUCGAUAAAUCUAUGUAGGGUAUCUGAAGUUUUUUGUAUAUAGUAGUACUAAAAUGAGAAAGUGUGAAACCACAGGAGUGAUAUUUGAAGUUUACCCUAAAAUUUUUAAAAGUAUAACGUAACUUUUUGUUUGAAGUACCAUAACAUACAAUAAAUAAUAUAAAGUCUUAAAGCGUAUAAAUUAUAUAAUAUAAAAAUACUUUAUUAUCCCAAAAUUUUAUGAUAUAAAAUUAAAGCUAAAUUACAGAAAACCUCCCUAUCAAUACCCACUUUUUCAGUUUCCCCCCCCUGUUAUUUAAAAAUCUACAUUUUGCUCCCUUGUAAAAUAAAAAAUAUUCACUUCGCUCCCUGUCGUAGUGCUCCGUUGGGGUUCCGUUUAUAAAAUAAUAUUAUAUAUUUUUUAUACCAAAAAUACCCUCAGUCUCCUCCUCAAUAGUGCCGCCUGAUGAGGGGCAAAUUGGUCAUUUUGUUAUUAUAGUUAACACCGUAAUCCCCUGUGAAUAUUUUUUAUUUCACAAGAGAGCAAAAUGUAGGUUUUUAAAAAACAGGAAGGGAAAGUGAUAAAGCAGAUAUUGACAAAGAAAAUUUAUGUAAUUUAGCCUAAAAUUAAUAAAAUUUUUAUUAUUAUAGAGUCAAUAUCAUAGAUAUUAUAUAUUUUUUAUUUUAAAAAAAAUAUAUGUGGGUACUCAUAUAUAUACUCCUAGGUUGCCCAAAAUAUUCACCAUUUAAUGGGUACCUACUUGUUUACCUGUAAUUUUUUAGAUAAAAAAAGUUAGUAUCCAUACUCAUAAAUAAAGCUGUCCAAAAUAUCCGAUAUCCCAUACCCGAUCUGGACCCUACCCGAACCCUACCCGAACCCCGAACCGGACCCGAUAAAAAGUGAAUAGUAUACGGAUAAAAAAAAUUACCCAUUAAAGUUUUGAGUAUGGGUCUGGAUAUUUUAUACCCAUACCCGAUCUGGACCCGACCUGAACCCAACUUUUAAAUAGGUAGGGUCCGGAAUAGUUUUCAAAUCCGGACCCGGACCCGGACCCGGUGAAAUAUCUGAUAGUAAAUAAAAAUAAAUAAACUUUUAAAGUUGAAGGAUUAAUUUUAAUAUGACUUAUAAAUGAUGGGCCAUUACGUAUUUUCAUCCUAAUGAAAACCUAGCGCUCUCUUUUACUCGUUUCUUUUGGUUGAUAUGAAUAAUUUUUAAAGGUAAACUUUUAAAAUCUCUUUAUUGAGUACUUUUAUGGUACAUUCUAAUAUAGUUUAUUUGACAGAUUCAACAUUUUUGUUGUUGAAAAUAUUGCAAAAAGAACCAAUCGACAAAGAGAAAAAUUUUGAUAACUAUUUUAUUGGUUAUUCUGACUAUUAUGUUAUUGUUCACUCAUAAAAAUUAAAAAACUUGAAACUUAUUUUUUCACUGUAAUGUUUCAUAUAUAUAUAUUUUAACUAUAUAAUAGUAAAUGCAUAUAUUUUGGACCAAUGUAUUAGGAUAUUUUAUUUUUUUUCUUUUGAAUGAAUUUUAUUGCAUAGUACAACUUAUUAAAACGUGAGUUUUUUAUAGGAGGCUUUAUAGUUUUUCCAUAAACUAUUUAAUAAAGUCUAUAAAAAAAAAUAUUUAUAUGGGUAUUCGUACCCGAUCUAGACCCGAUCCAUAUUCGGUGUUGAACAGAUAGUAUAUGGGUAGUCUCUAUCAAGACUGGCACAAAUAGACCCGAUAAGUAUAUUAGUAACUUAAGUAUCCAGAUCCGGAUCCGAUCCGAUCUACGGACACCUUUACUCAUAAAUUCAUAGGUAACUGAC
RNAcentral lists this long non-coding RNA (2202 nucleotides) under Ananas comosus (pineapple). RNAcentral describes it as "long non-coding RNA (ACOM_LNC011874)". The record is from RNAcentral. Lineage: Eukaryota; Viridiplantae; Streptophyta; Magnoliopsida; Poales; Bromeliaceae.